UACAGAGGGUGCGAGCGUUAAUCGGAAUUACUGGGCGUAAAGGGUGCGUAGGUGGAUAGCUAAGUUAGAUGUGAAAGCCCUGGGCUUAACCUAGGAAUGGCAUUUAAGACUGGUUGUCUAGAGUAUGGGAGAGGUAAGUGGAAUUUCCGGUGUAGCGGUGAAAUGCGUAGAUAUCGGAAGGAACACCAGUGGCGAAGGCGACUUUCUGGCCUGCUACUGACACUGAGGCACGAAAGCGUGGGGAGCAAACAGG
This 253-nucleotide ribosomal RNA is filed under the name uncultured bacterium. RNAcentral describes it as "partial 16S ribosomal RNA". It matches the Rfam family "Bacterial small subunit ribosomal RNA", at positions 524 to 776 of the family's 1533-position model. The record is from RNAcentral.